Molecule: transfer RNA, 57 nt
Filed under: Salmo salar (Atlantic salmon)
Lineage: Eukaryota; Metazoa; Chordata; Actinopteri; Salmoniformes; Salmonidae
Rfam family: tRNA
About the family: Transfer RNA (tRNA) molecules are approximately 80 nucleotides in length. Their secondary structure includes four short double-helical elements and three loops (D, anti-codon, and T loops).
Source: Rfam by way of RNAcentral
GACUCAGUUGGUAGAGCAUGGUGCUUGCAAUGCCAGGGUUGUGGGUUCGAUUCCCAC